GGAAGUACACAGGUCACUGGUGGACCUCCUGGACUUCAAAUCCAGUGUGGGGCGUGAGGAACGUCCCGGGUGGGUUCGAUUCCCAUGUACUUCCGCCA
RNAcentral lists this transfer RNA (98 nucleotides) under Deltaproteobacteria bacterium. RNAcentral's name for it is "tRNA-Sec". It matches the Rfam family "Selenocysteine transfer RNA". The record is from RNAcentral. Lineage: Bacteria; Pseudomonadati; Myxococcota; Myxococcia.